GGGGCCUAGUGAGGCCUAGUAGGAACCUGGGAGGUGGAAGGUGCCAGCGGUUGUCCAGUGCAAUUGUGCUGUCCCAAGGAGAGUAAUGGACAGGAAAUAAGGCCUGAGCGACAACUUUAUUUGCAGAGGCAGAAACUGUGAGGAUUAAGACCAAGGACAUCAAUUUCUCACUAUUGACUGAUGCAGAAGAUUGUAAGCAUGAACCUGAUAUGCAGGUGGUAAUAGGCUUGAAGAAUAUGAGUUCUGCUCUACAUUAAAUAUUUGAAUUGAAGAUAGCAUACUUCUCUGCUUAAAUGAUAGCUAAAAUGGAGGACUACAACUCCUCUUCAAGUGAAUAAGGAGAGACAGCAGAAAUGUCUGAAAUAAUACCCAUGGAGGCAGAUGCUAGAAACUCCUCAGGAGCUGAUUAAGAUUUUUCUCACUGAGUUCACAUUUGUCGUGUAAUGAUUUGUGAGUAGUCUGACUUGUUUGAAAUACUAAUGCUAGAAGUUUGGCUUAAUUGACUAAGCUCUGGAUCUUCUAUAAACUUCACAAAUUCUUUCCUAAUUUCUUUCAUUACAAUGGCCUGCAAAGAAGUGGAUCAGCAAUCAUCAUUAAAAUGUCAUUUAUAUUCUGUGUGACUUCACUCUCCACAUAUGCUAUAUAUUAUACCUGCAAGAGGGAAUUUUUGUGCUAACUUCUGCAAAAGUGGUAAGAUUAUCACAAAAAGGAAGUAUAUGCUGAAGAUACAAAGAACUGUGGUUAGCUUUGACUCCAGCCAGAGCAGUUUUAUAAUGGAACCAUACCCAUUGAUCCAAUACUUGUGAUGCUUUCCGAUUAUCCAUGCAGUUCAGGACUCCCAUCUAAAUCACUUAAUUCAGGUCCUUUUAAAACUUCCUGUAUGUCACAGGACAAUGGCAUACCUUUCAUACAAUUACACUUCUUCAUAUAUUAUCUGCUAAUUAAUGCCCUUAGAAAGAAUUUCUCUGCUUUCCACUAAACUAAUUGGGCAGCAGAGAGUCCAAACUUUUAGCCAGUACAUUGGUGAAUACCUCAGCAUCAAUACAGAACUAGUAGACAGGGCUAUGACUGGCAAAAUCAAACUUGUCUUUGCUAGGUUUCAAGCCAGUUAAAGAUGCGCUUCUAUUGAUUUUGAAAUUUUGACAUUUUCUCAGAUUGCGAACU
Corapipo altera (White-ruffed manakin) is the source of this 1164-nucleotide long non-coding RNA. RefSeq lists it as uncharacterized. The record is from RefSeq and is a predicted model, not a curated record. NCBI's taxonomy places the organism in Eukaryota, Metazoa, Chordata, Aves, Passeriformes, Pipridae. The transcript is spliced from 5 exons.